GCUUUCUUAGCUUAGUUGGUAGAGCACCCGCUUAGUAACGGGAGGUCCUCGGUUCACUCCGGCAGAAGGCU
Molecule: transfer RNA, 71 nt
Filed under: Perkinsus marinus ATCC 50983
Lineage: Eukaryota; Perkinsozoa; Perkinsida; Perkinsidae
Rfam family: tRNA
About the family: Transfer RNA (tRNA) molecules are approximately 80 nucleotides in length. Their secondary structure includes four short double-helical elements and three loops (D, anti-codon, and T loops). Further hydrogen bonds mediate the characteristic L-shaped molecular structure. tRNAs have two regions of fundamental functional importance: the anti-codon, which is responsible for specific mRNA codon recognition, and the 3' end, to which the tRNAs corresponding amino acid is attached (by aminoacyl-tRNA synthetases). tRNAs cope with the degeneracy of the genetic code in two manners: having more than one tRNA (with a specific anti-codon) for a particular amino acid; and 'wobble' base-pairing, i.e. permitting non-standard base-pairing at the 3rd anti-codon position.
Source: Rfam by way of RNAcentral